Molecule: long non-coding RNA, 341 nt
Filed under: Homo sapiens (human)
Lineage: Eukaryota; Metazoa; Chordata; Mammalia; Primates; Hominidae
Description: non-protein coding FAM242E:5
Source: RNAcentral
GGAGGGAGGCGGGCAGAGGAGGGGAGAUGGGCACCCCCAGUCUUUCCAUCCUCCUCAUUCGUCUAGGGGCACCCGAAUCCCCUAUUCCUUAUUUCCCCUAUCACUCAGGCACUGGCAGGGUCCUUUGCCCACUCCUGUUGGCCGCUGCGGCUCCAAAGCGAGCUGGGCAGAUGUGCCUGAGACAGGUUUGACCAGGCAACUGAAAAGACAUCCCUAAGAGAAGACAAAGCAAAGGUAUGAAAGGAACACACGUCCCUGACUGACUAGGAGGAACAGAGCUGCCUGCUAUCUGGAACAACUUCCUCCCAGACUAAGUGAGAAAUAAACUUCUGUUUUCUAUA